This 1470-nucleotide ribosomal RNA is filed under the name metagenome. RNAcentral's name for it is "bacterial SSU rRNA". It matches the Rfam family "Bacterial small subunit ribosomal RNA". The record is from RNAcentral.
AGAGUUUGAUCCUGGCUCAGGACGAACGCUGGCGGCACGCUUAACACAUGCAAGUCGAACGAGAGAAGAGGAGCUUGCUUUUCUGAUCUAGUGGCGGACAGGUGAGUAACACGUGAGCAAUCUGCCUUUCAGAGGGGGAUACCGAUUGGAAACGAUCGUUAAUACCGCAUAACAUAAUUGAACCGCAUGAUUUGAUUAUCAAAGAUUUAUCGCUGAAAGAUGAGCUCGCGUCUGAUUAGCUAGUUGGUAAGGUAACGGCUUACCAAGGCGACGAUCAGUAGCCGGACUGAGAGGUUGAUCGGCCACAUUGGGGCUGAGACACGGCCCAGACUCCUACGGGAGGCAGCAGUGGGGAAUAUUGCACAAUGGAGGAAACUCUGAUGCAGCGAUGCCGCGUGAGGGAAGAAGGUUUUAGGAUUGUAAUCCUCUGUCUUCAGGGACGAAAAAAGACGGUACCUGAGGAGGAAGCUCCGGCUAACUACGUGCCAGCAGCCGCGGUAAUACGUAGGGAGCGAGCGUUGUCCGGAAUUACUGGGUGUAAAGGGAGCGUAGGCGGGAUCGCAAGUCAGAUGUGAAAACUAUGGGCUUAACCCAUAAACUGCAUUUGAAACUGUGGUUCUUGAGUGAAGUAGAGGUAAGCGGAAUUCCUAGUGUAGCGGUGAAAUGCGUAGAUAUUAGGAGGAACAUCAGUGGCGAAGGCGGCUUACUGGGCUUUAACUGACGCUGAGGCUCGAAAGCGUGGGGAGCAAACAGGAUUAGAUACCCUGGUAGUCCACGCCGUAAACGAUGAUUACUAGGUGUGGGGGGACUGACCCCUUCCGUGCCGCAGCAAACGCAAUAAGUAAUCCACCUGGGGAGUACGACCGCAAGGUUGAAACUCAAAGGAAUUGACGGGGGCCCGCACAAGCAGUGGAGUAUGUGGAUUAAUUCGAAGCAACGCGAAGAACCUUACCAGGUCUUGACAUCGUAUGCAUAGCUCAGAGAUGAGUGAAAUCUCUUCGGAGACAUAUAGACAGGUGGUGCAUGGUUGUCGUCAGCUCGUGACGUGAGAUGUUGGGUUAAGUCCCGCAACGAGCGCAACCCUUACUGUUAGUUGCUACGCAAGAGCACUCUAGCAGGACUGCCGUUGACAAAACGGAGGAAGGUGGGGAUGACGUCAAAUCAUCAUGCCCCUUAUGACCUGGGCCUCACACGUACUACAAUGGCUGUCAACAGAGGGAAGCAAAGCCGCGAGGUGGAGCGAACCCCUAAAAGCAGUCUUAGUUCGGAUUGUAGGCUGCAACCCGCCUACAUGAAGUCGGAAUUGCUAGUAAUCGCAGAUCAGCAUGCUGCGGUGAAUACGUUCCCGGGCCUUGUACACACCGCCCGUCACGCCAUGGGAGUCGGUAACACCCGAAGCCUGUAGUCUAACCGCAAGGAGGACGCAGUCGAAGGUGGGAUUGAUGACUGGGGUGAAGUCGUAACAAGGUA